GAUGGGCAUGCGUGACAUUAGCUAGUUGGUAAGGUAACGGCUUACCAAGGCUACGAUGUCUAGGGGUUCUGAGAGGAUACACCCCCACACUGGUACUGAGACACGGACCAGACUCCUACGGGAGGCAGCAGUAGGGAAUAUUGGGCAAUGGACGCAAGUCUGACCCAGCCAUGCCGCGUGCAGGAUGACAGCCUUAUGGGUUGUAAACUGCUUUUGUACGGGAAAAAACUUUCGGACGUGUCCGGAAUUGAUGGUACCGUAAGAAUAAGCAUCGGCUAACUCCGUGCCAGCAGCCGCGGUAAUACGGAGGAUGCAAGCGUUAUCCGGAUUUAUUGGGUUUAAAGGGUGCGCAGGCGGAUUUUUAAGUCAGUGGUGAAAUCCUACAGCUUAACUGUAGAACUGCCAUUGAAACUGGAAGUCUAGAAUUUAGUUGAAGUGACUGGAAUGUGUCAUGUAGCGGUGAAAUGCAUAGAGAUGACACAGAACACCGAUAGCGAAGGCAGGUCACUAAGCUAAUAUUGACGCUCAUGCACGAAAGCGUGGGGAUCAAACAGGAUUAGAUACCCUGGUAGUCCACGCCGUAAA
RNAcentral lists this ribosomal RNA (585 nucleotides) under uncultured bacterium. RNAcentral describes it as "bacterial SSU rRNA". It matches the Rfam family "Bacterial small subunit ribosomal RNA", at positions 224 to 806 of the family's 1533-position model. The record is from RNAcentral.